AUUGAACGCUGGCGGCAGGCCUAACACAUGCAAGUCGAGCGGCAGCGGAAAGUAGCUUGCUACUUUGCCGGCGAGCGGCGGACGGGUGAGUAAUGUCUGGGAAACUGCCCGAUGGAGGGGGAUAACUACUGGAAACGGUAGCUAAUACCGCAUAACGUCGCAAGACCAAAGAGGGGGACCUUCGGGCCUCUUGCCAUCGGAUGUGCCCAGAUGGGAUUAGCUAGUAGGUGGGGUAACGGCUCACCUAGGCGACGAUCCCUAGCUGGUCUGAGAGGAUGACCAGCCACACUGAACUGAGACACGGUCCAGACUCCGACGGGAGGCAGCAGUGGGGAAUAUUGCACAAUGGGCACAAGCCUGAUGCAGCCAUGCCGCGUGUAUGAAGAAGGCCUUCGGGUUGUAAAGUACUUUCAGCGGGGAGGAAGGUGUUGAGGUUAAUAACCUCAGCAAUUGACGUUACCCGCAGAAGAAGCACCGGCUAACUCCGUGCCAGCCGCCGCCGUAA
Molecule: ribosomal RNA, 505 nt
Filed under: uncultured bacterium
Lineage: Bacteria
Description: partial 16S ribosomal RNA
Rfam family: Bacterial small subunit ribosomal RNA
Source: RNAcentral